Molecule: ribosomal RNA, 1473 nt
Filed under: uncultured beta proteobacterium
Lineage: Bacteria; Pseudomonadati; Pseudomonadota; Betaproteobacteria
Description: 16S ribosomal RNA
Rfam family: Bacterial small subunit ribosomal RNA
Source: RNAcentral
AGAGUUUGAUCCUGGCUCAGAUUGAACGCUGGCGGCACGCUUUACACUUCCAAGUCGAGCGGCAGCGCGGGGGUGCUUGCACCCCUGGCGGCGAGCGGCGGACGGGUGAGUAAUACAUGGGAACAUGCCCGACAGUGGGGGAUAACCCCGGGAAACCGGGGCUAAUACCGCAUUCGCUCUACGGAGGAAAGCGGGGGAUCUUCGGACCUCGCGCUGACGGAGUGGCCCAUGUCCGAUUAGCUUGUUGGCGGGGUAACAGCCCACCAAGGCGACGAUCGGUAGCUGGUCUGAGAGGAUGAUCAGCCACACCGGGACUGAGACACGGCCCGGACUCCUACGGGAGGCAGCAGUGGGGAAUAUUGGACAAUGGGGGAAACCCUGAUCCAGCGAUGCCGCGUGAGUGAAGAAGGCCUUCGGGUUGUAAAGCUCUUUCGCGGGGGAAGAAACGACGGCGGCGAAUAACCGCCGGCACUGACGGUACCCCGAGAAGAAGCACCGGCUAACUACGUGCCAGCAGCCGCGGUAAUACGUAGGGUGCGAGCGUUUAAUCGGAAUUACUGGGCGUAAAGCGUGUGUAGGCGGCCAUGCAAGUCGGAUGUGAAAGCCCCGGGCUCACCUAGGAAUUGCGCUUGUGACUGGCGGGAUUGAUGAACCGUCACCGGAAGCUUAAAUUGGGUAGUUGCAGGAAAUGAAUCCGGUGCAGGAAUGGAACACCGAUGGCGUAAGGCGGCUCUUUGGCGAACUACGUGGACAUAAAGCUGGGGCAACAGGAUAAUACCUGUAUCCACCCCUAACGAGUCGUAGUAUUGAGCAGUUCAGGGGGAAGUAACGGUUAAGGGACCGCCUGGGGAGUACGGUCGCAAGAUAAACUCAAAGGAAUUGACGGGGACCCGCACAAGCGGUGGAUGAUGUGGUUAUUCGAUGCAACGCGAAAAACCUUACCCGCUCUUGACAUGUUCGGAAUCCCGCAGAGAUGUGGGAGUGCCUUUCAGGAACCGAAACACAGGUGUUGCAUGGCUGUCGUCAGCUCGUGUCGUGAGAUGUUGGGUUAAGUCCCGCAACGAGCGCAACCCUUGUCGUUAGUUGCCAGCAUUUAGUUGGGCACUUUAACGAAACUGCCGGUGACAAACCGGAGGAAGGUGAGGACGACGUCAAGUCAUCAUGGCCCUUAUGAGCGGGGCUACACACGUCAUACAAUGGCCGGUACAAUGGGCAGCCAACCUGCAAAGGGGAGCGAAUCUCAAAAAGCCGGUCGUAGUCCGGAUCGCGGUCUGCAACUCGACCGCGUGAAGUCGGAAUCGCUAGUAAUCGCGGAUCAGCAUGUCGCGGUGAAUACGUUCCCGGGUCUUGUACACACCGCCCGUCAAACCAUGGGAGUGAAAGAUACCAGAAGCGGGUAGUUUAACCCUUCGGGGAGGACGCUCACUAAGGUAUGUUUCAUGACUGGGGUUAAGUCGUAACAAGGUAGCCGUA